UGCCAGCAGCCGCGGUAAGACGGAGGGUGCAAACGUUGCUCGGAAUCACUGGGCAUAAAGCGCACGUAGGCGGUCCGCUAAGUUGGGCGUGAAAGCCCCCGGCUCAACCGGGGAAUUGCGCCCAAUACUGGCGGGCUUGAGGACGGUAGGGGUGAGUGGAACUCCAGGUGGAGCGGUGAAAUGCGUAGAUAUCUGGAGGAACACCGGUGGCGAAAGCGACUCACUGGACCGUCUCUGACGCUGAGGUGCGAAAGCCAGGGGAGCGAACGGGAUUAGAUA
RNAcentral lists this ribosomal RNA (279 nucleotides) under uncultured bacterium. Its description in RNAcentral is "partial 16S ribosomal RNA". It matches the Rfam family "Bacterial small subunit ribosomal RNA", at positions 506 to 784 of the family's 1533-position model. The record is from RNAcentral.